AUACGUAGGGGGCAAGCGUUAUCCGGAUUUACUGGGUGUAAAGGGAGCGCAGACGGCAGUGCAAGUCUGAUGUGAAAGCCCGGGGCUCAACCCCGGAACUGCAUUGGAAACUGCACAGCUUGAGUGUCGGAGAGGUAAGCGGAAUUCCUAGUGUAGCGGUGAAAUGCGUAGAUAUUAGGAGGAACACCGGUGGCGAAGGCGGCUUACUGGACGAUGACUGACGUUGAGGCUCGAAAGCGUGGGGAGCAAACAGGAUUAGAUACCCUGGUAGUCCACGCUGUAAACGAUGAAUACUAGGUGUGGGUGUGCACUGCACAUCCGUGCCGCAGCUAACGCAGUAAGUAUUCCACCUGGGGAGUACGUUCGCAAGAAUGAAACUCAAAGGAAUUGACGGGG
This 396-nucleotide ribosomal RNA is filed under the name uncultured bacterium. RNAcentral's name for it is "partial 16S ribosomal RNA". It matches the Rfam family "Bacterial small subunit ribosomal RNA", at positions 523 to 918 of the family's 1533-position model. The record is from RNAcentral.